Molecule: non-coding RNA, 146 nt
Organism: Erysiphe necator (grape powdery mildew)
Lineage: Eukaryota; Fungi; Ascomycota; Leotiomycetes; Helotiales; Erysiphaceae
Source: Rfam
CUUAACCAGUUCUCGGUUAAACACUACUUGCACGUGCUGAAUUAGUAAUAAUCAGUGCGCAACUGCAAGGACAAUGUAGCCUACCUUAAAUGGUAAUGUAAAUAUUUAUAUAUUUCCAGGAGCUAGUGUGUAUAGAAUAUGGGUAG